CGUAGGGUGCAAGCGUUGUCCGGAAUUAUUGGGCGUAAAGAGCUCGUAGGCGGUCUGUCGCGUCGGCUGUGAAAACUCGGGGCUCAACCCCGAGCCUGCAGUCGAUACGGGCAGACUAGAGUGCGGUAGGGGAGACUGGAAUUCCUGGUGCAGCGGUGAAAUGCGCAGAUAUCAGGAGGAACACCGGUGGCGAAGGCGGGUCUCUGGGCCGUAACUGACGCUGAGGAGCGAAAGCGUGGGGAGCAAACAGGAUUAGAUACCCUGGUAGUCCACGCCGUAAACGGUGGGUGCUAGGUGUAGGUCGUAUUCCACGCGAUCUGUGCCGCAGCUAACGCAUUAAGCACCCCGCCUGGGGAGUACGGCCGCAAGGCUA
This 373-nucleotide ribosomal RNA is filed under the name uncultured organism. RNAcentral describes it as "bacterial SSU rRNA". It matches the Rfam family "Bacterial small subunit ribosomal RNA", at positions 526 to 896 of the family's 1533-position model. The record is from RNAcentral.